AAUUUUAUCUUGAAUCGAGGAUCUAACAUGGCUGCAACUGCUAAAGCAAAACUGCAUUUCUCCCAAUAUUCAUCAAACUUGCCUUUCAUCUUUAAUGCCAUAGAACCAAUAAAAUCAUCAGAAUUCUUGCACCAUUCAAUUAACUGCAAGUGAAUAUCACAGAUCUCAGAAAAAUAUAUAUUUGCAGUUGGAUACUUAUUCUUCACAAAAACCUUAGCGACUUCAACAAAGUGCUUCAAAAAGCUUGUAACGGUCCUCACCCUCUCCCACUCUAAAUCAGUUGGACAAGUUGAAUAGGCAAUGCCUUGUUCCUGAAAAUGUGAAAAUGCCCACCUGUACUCUAAGGCAGCUUCAAGCAUAAAAUAUGUAGAGUCCCAACGCGAUGGAUUGUCAAGACAUAAGCACUUCUGACUCUCAACUCCACCUUGUGAAGCAAUCUCAUUGAAUUUCAUCAGAUUUACUUGUGAACUUCUGACAUAACGAAUGCUUUCACGAAUUUUGUGUGUUACCUCAGAAAGCACCUCCAGUGCAUCGUGAACCAUCAGCUUGAGAAGACUUGCAGCACAGCGUAUAUCAAAUAGCACACCAU
This 589-nucleotide unclassified non-coding RNA is filed under the name Hevea brasiliensis (rubber tree). Lineage: Eukaryota; Viridiplantae; Streptophyta; Magnoliopsida; Malpighiales; Euphorbiaceae. The record is from RNAcentral.